RNAcentral lists this ribosomal RNA (841 nucleotides) under uncultured Chloroflexota bacterium. Its description in RNAcentral is "bacterial SSU rRNA". It matches the Rfam family "Bacterial small subunit ribosomal RNA", at positions 28 to 895 of the family's 1533-position model. The record is from RNAcentral. Lineage: Bacteria; Bacillati; Chloroflexota.
GAUAAACGCUGGCGGCGUGCUUUAUGCAUGCAAGUUGAACGGUUCUGAUUUAUCAGAAUAGUGGCAAAUGGGUGAGUAACACGUAAGUAACCUGCCCCUAAGUGAGGAAUAACUCCGAGAAAUUGGAGCUAAUACCUCAGUGGUAAUGGAGUAAGUCUUCAUUACUAAAGCCUUCGGGUGCUUGGGGAGGGGCUUGUGUCCGAUUAGCUAGUUGGUAGGGUAAUGGCUUACCAAGGUGACGAUCGGUAGCUGGUCUGAGAGGACAAUCAGCCACACUGGGACUGAGACACGGCCCAGACUCCUACGGGAGGCAGCAGCAAGGAAUUUUGUGCAAUGGGCGAAAGCCUGACACAGCGACGCCGCGUGGGGGAUGAAGGCUUUCGAGUUGUAAACCCCUUUUCUUAGGGAAGAAUAAUGACGGUACCUAAGGAAUAAGCAUCGGCUAACUACGUGCCAGCAACCGCGGUAAUACGUAGGAUGCAAGCGUUAUCCGGAUUUAUUGGGCGUAAAGCGGGCGUAGGCGGUUCGGCAAGUCGGAUGUAAAAUCUCCCGGCUUAACUGGGAGGGACCAUUCGAUACUGCCGAGCUAGAGGACAGCAGGGGGAGACGGAAUUCCCGGUGUAGUGGUGAAAUGCGUAGAUAUCGGGAGGAACACCAGUGGCGAAGGCGGUCUCCUGGGCUGUUACUGACGCUGAGGCCCAAAAGCGUGGGGAGCGAACAGGAUCAGAUACCCUGGUAGUCCACGCUGUAAACUAUGGACACUAGGUAUAGGGAGUAUCGACCCUCUCUGUGUCGAAGCUAACGCUUUAAGUGUCCCGCCUGGGGAGACGGUCGCAAGGCU